This is a long non-coding RNA of Colossoma macropomum (tambaqui), 626 nucleotides long. RefSeq lists it as uncharacterized. The record is from RefSeq and is a predicted model, not a curated record. Lineage: Eukaryota; Metazoa; Chordata; Actinopteri; Characiformes; Serrasalmidae. The transcript has 3 exons.
UGACGGAGGCGGAAGCGGAGCUGCGCGGAGAUGGCGGGUGUAGAGAAGCAGGGUGCGGUUUCUCUCCCCAAACAUUCAUACUGGUUCGACUUCUGGGUGUUUGUCUUAUUCGACAUCGCGUUUUUCCUCUUCAUGUACUUUGUCGUUCCUUAAGGAUCCACCUGUGGUGUGUGAGGACGAGGAGCAUGGAGAUGGUAGCUGACCUAUGGAGUAGAUGAGACUCGUUGGUAAUGUGUGACUCCCCCAAAACUGCACUCCAUGGCUUUGGCUGAUCUCAUCCGUCCACCAAUUCAGAGUACUGCGAGUGCAGUGCCUUGUUUCAGGCUCUUUUACACCCCUGAUUCAAACAGCUACGCUUAUCCAAAGAACCAAAAACACGUUACAGAUAACUAAUCAUUCCUCUACAGGCUUCACGCCUCUACCUGAAUUGUAAUUCAUCUUAAACACUGUGUGAGUUAGAGUUAGACUGCAGGAUGUUAACACAUAUGUUAACACAUAUGCUACAUGAAGAAGUGGUUGAAUUAAUUGUCAUUAUGAAUGAAUGAACAAGGUUUUGUUUGCUUUAAUCUCAAUCAUGUGAUUCACUGAAUACUAAAAAAUUAAAGUCUCUUAAUAUAUUUUUGAAA